CCGGAGAAUGGAUUGCUUGUGUCCCUGUUCCCCGGUAGCCAGCUCCAUUGUCCAUAAGUGGCUCCAGAAACCUUGAUUUCCGACCAGAGAGAAGACAGCUAGUGAACAGCACUCACCGCCAACUCUGGGGCUACUCUUUUCUGAUUGAAUAUGGAAAUUUGAUCGUCGCCUAUGUCUCUAGAGUGUGAUACUCCUUUGUACGGCAGCGGAUCGCAACCCAAAAAUUCUCUUCCGAGCAGACAAACCAUCACGCCACGCCUAGUCGUCGCCCGUGGAAAGCGAAAUCAAGUUGCCAAGUUUUACGACUUACACGAUUCCAGUGACCAAGCCAUCAAGCCAGCUACCAAAAUCACGGUUGGGGGGAGAUGAAUCAUUUCCCCCCUGAUAACGUUACAACUGUGUUGAGACAUUAAUCAAACCCGAGUUCACGCCUAACCAGAGAGCCAGGCCACCAGCAUGCGUCUUUCUGAAAGCAAA
Long non-coding RNA from Limulus polyphemus (Atlantic horseshoe crab), 477 nucleotides. RefSeq lists it as uncharacterized. The record is from RefSeq and is a predicted model, not a curated record. Lineage: Eukaryota; Metazoa; Arthropoda; Merostomata; Xiphosura; Limulidae. The transcript has 3 exons.